UACGAUGAAGAGUUUGAUCCUGGCUCAGGAUGAACGCUAGCGGCAGGCCUAACACAUGCAAGUCGAGGGGUAGAAGGAGCUUGCUCCUUUGAGACCGGCGCACGGGUGCGUAACGCGUAUGCAAUCUACCUUUUACAGAGGGAUAGCCCAGAGAAAUUUGGAUUAAUACCUCAUAGUAUAUAUCAUUCGCAUGUUUGGUAUAUUAAAGUUCCAAC
This 215-nucleotide ribosomal RNA is filed under the name Flavobacterium stagni. RNAcentral describes it as "Flavobacterium sp. WWJ-16 partial 16S ribosomal RNA". It matches the Rfam family "Bacterial small subunit ribosomal RNA", at positions 1 to 216 of the family's 1533-position model. Lineage: Bacteria; Pseudomonadati; Bacteroidota; Flavobacteriia; Flavobacteriales; Flavobacteriaceae. The record is from RNAcentral.